GUUUGAAGUUUUCCACACUAAAAAGUUUUUAAAAAUCGCCUUGGAGGAGAAGAAAAUUACACAAAAGCUGGAACCUGACUCGCGCCGCACCCUACUCCCUGGGGACGUCUACCAAAGCAUCCCUGCACCCACUUUCGUCCUCAGGGCCGAAGUUUCCCUCAAGGAAGCCUAUACGAGAUGAGGGCUGGAAGCCGGAAGAGAGCCCCGAAAACCUUUUAUCUGGAACCUCGUUCCCGAUUGUGUCUAGAGCAAACCAUGAGGGAUUUGAAAAGAGAAAAAUUUAAACCUUGUAUCCUGCAACUCCAGAAUAAAAUUAAAUGAGCCUGUGUCUGA
Molecule: long non-coding RNA, 333 nt
Organism: Leopardus geoffroyi (Geoffroy's cat)
Lineage: Eukaryota; Metazoa; Chordata; Mammalia; Carnivora; Felidae
Exons: 2
Source: RefSeq, a predicted model, not a curated record